RNAcentral lists this ribosomal RNA (207 nucleotides) under uncultured bacterium. RNAcentral describes it as "partial 16S ribosomal RNA". It matches the Rfam family "Bacterial small subunit ribosomal RNA", at positions 568 to 774 of the family's 1533-position model. The record is from RNAcentral.
CGCGUAGGCGGACUUUCAAGUCGGAUGUGAAAUCUCUGGGCUCAACUCAGAGCGUGCAUCCGAUACUGUUGGUCUUGAGUAUAUCAGAGGAAAGCGGAAUUCCAGGUGUAGCGGUGAAAUGCGUAGAUAUCUGGAAGAACACCAGUAGCGAAGGCGGCUUUCUGGGGUAAUACUGACGCUGAAGCGCGAAGGCUAGGGGAGCAAACA